Molecule: long non-coding RNA, 1195 nt
Filed under: Vigna radiata
Lineage: Eukaryota; Viridiplantae; Streptophyta; Magnoliopsida; Fabales; Fabaceae
Description: long non-coding RNA (VRAD_LNC009311)
Source: RNAcentral
AUUUCAGUGGACAAAAAUACCCUUAUAUAUCAUGAAUUAAGUUUUAAGGUUAAGGAUAUUUUAAUAAUUUUGAUUUUCAAAAUUAAAAAAAUAAAAAAAGAAACCCUCUAAACUCUUACCCACCUCUCUCAUCCCUCAGAACCCUUUCUCUUUCAUUUCUUUCACUCUCACCUUUUCUCUGUCAUCCUACUCUAGCCCCAAUUGAAAAAAAAUCAAACACUUGUCUUAUUUUAAAAAUUUUCAUUCUCAAAACUGAAAAAAGAAACCCCAAACCCUUACUUACCUCCUUCAUUUCUCUCAACCCUUUCUCCUUCAUCUCUCUCACUCAAACAUUUUCUCUGUCAUCUCUGCACUAGCUCCAACUAAAAAAACACUCAUUAUUAAACAAUUUACUUACUUUUGUAAAGAGUUGAGUCAUUGACAUGUUCACCUUCCGAAAAAAAGUUCAUUCAUAAUCUCUUUAAUUUCAUUAUCUUCACUAUAUAUAUUACAGCCGACUGACACAACUUGCACCAAGACUUAUGAACAUCCUUCCUUUACAUUUUGAGACACCACGUAAUAUUGCUCCGUGGCCAUUUAAUUUUUUUUGGUAGAAAUUCAUUAACUUGUUUUCCUUUACUAAAGAAAAAACAAAUCAAAAUACAAUAAAAUUCUCAANGAUAAAAUCAAACAAUAAAAAUUCUAAACCUUGAAAUUUUAUUUAAAAUUAUAUAAAGAAAAAAUUAGGUGUUUUAAUUUUUUUAUUUAUGUAAGUAUUUUUUUUCUCUAAAUUAUAUUCAAUAAUGAGUGUUUUUUUAGUUGGGGCUAGUGCAAAGAUGAGAGAGAAAAUGUUUGAAUGAGAGAGACGAAGGAGAAAGGGUUUGGUUUUUUUUUUUUUAGUUUUGAGAAUGAAAAUUAUUAAAAUAAGACAAAUGUUUCUGAUUUUUUACAAUUGGGACUAGAGCAGGGAUGACAGAGAAAAAGUAUGAGUGUAAGAGAUGAAAGAGAAAUGGUUGAGAGGAAUGAAAGAGGUGGGUAAGGAUUAGGAGGGUUUCUUUUUUUAUUUUUUUAAUUUUAAGAAUGAAAAUUAUUAAAAUAUCCUUAAUCUUACAACUUAUAAUUCAUGAUAUAAGGGUAUUUUUGUCUACUGAAACCCGGUACACAUUGCUAAAAUGUACCAACUGAAAAACAGGCGUACGCAAGUUAGCAAACCCCU